UACGGGGGGGGCAAGCGUUGUUCGGAAUUACUGGGCGUAAAGGGCUCGUAGGCGGCCAACUAAGUCGGAUGUGAAAUCCCCAGGCUUAACCUGGGAACUGCAUCCGAUACUGGAUGGCUUGAAUCCGGGAGAGGGAUGCAGAAUUCCAGGUGUAGCGGUGAAAUGCGUAGAUAUCUGGAGGAAUACCGGUGGCGAAGGGCAUCCUGGACCGGCAUUGACGCUGAUGAGCGAAAGCGUGGGGAGCAAACAGG
This 251-nucleotide ribosomal RNA is filed under the name uncultured bacterium. Its description in RNAcentral is "partial 16S ribosomal RNA". It matches the Rfam family "Bacterial small subunit ribosomal RNA", at positions 524 to 776 of the family's 1533-position model. The record is from RNAcentral.